GUGGGGAAUAUUGGACAAUGGGCGAAAGCCUGAUCCAGCCAUGCCGCGUGUGUGAAGAAGGUCUUCGGAUUGUAAAGCACUUUAAGUUGGGAGGAAGGGCAGUAAGUUAAUACCUUGCUGUUUUGACGUUACCGACAGAAUAAGCACCGGCUAACUUCGUGCCAGCAGCCGCGGUAAUACGAAGGGUGCAAGCGUUAAUCGGAAUUACUGGGCGUAAAGCGCGCGUAGGUGGUUCAGCAAGUUGGAGGUGAAAUCCCCGGGCUCAACCUGGGAACUGCCUCCAAAACUGCAUGACUAGAGUACGGUAGAGGGUAGUGGAAUUUCCUGUGUAGCGGUGAAAUGCGUAGAUAUAGGAAGGAACACCAGUGGCGAAGGCGACUACCUGGACUGAUACUGACACUGAGGUGCGAAAGCGUGGGGAGCAAACAGGAUUAGAUACCCCGGUAGUCC
This 450-nucleotide ribosomal RNA is filed under the name uncultured bacterium. RNAcentral's name for it is "bacterial SSU rRNA". It matches the Rfam family "Bacterial small subunit ribosomal RNA", at positions 354 to 796 of the family's 1533-position model. The record is from RNAcentral.